UGUCAGGUCUUGCGCAAUAAAAACUCAUGAAUCUCGUCAGGUUCGGAAGAAAGCAGCGAUAAGUGAUAAUUUUUAUGUGCCGCAAGGUCACCUGAUACUG
Molecule: signal recognition particle RNA, 100 nt
Filed under: Selenomonadales bacterium OttesenSCG-928-I06
Lineage: Bacteria; Bacillati; Bacillota; Negativicutes; Selenomonadales
Description: signal recognition particle sRNA small type
Rfam family: Bacterial small signal recognition particle RNA
About the family: The signal recognition particle (SRP) is a universally conserved ribonucleoprotein involved in the co-translational targeting of proteins to membranes.
Source: RNAcentral